This is a non-coding RNA of Anas platyrhynchos (mallard), 6850 nucleotides long. The record is from RefSeq and is a predicted model, not a curated record. NCBI's taxonomy places the organism in Eukaryota, Metazoa, Chordata, Aves, Anseriformes, Anatidae.
GUCCCCCGGAGCCGGCGACACCGUGCCGGAUUUGUGGCUCGAGUCCUCCUCGUCGGAGAAAUCGGCGGACGACGACAUGGAGCAGCGGUGGGACGUGGGGCCGGAGCUCUGCGCGGGGACAAGCACACACAGGGGUGCUUGAUGGUAAAGUUCAGAGGGGAUGGAGAGAGGGAAGGGAUGCAUAAAGACAACAACUAAAUUUCCCUCUGUAUGGUGACAGAGGGAGAGCACCGGGUAGCACAGAUAAACAGGAACACGAGAUGUAUGACCCCAGCCCUAACUAUCUCUGCAAUUAGUCUGAGUAGCCAGGAACAUUCUGCUGCCAGUUUACCCAGGAAGGUAAAACUCUCCAUCUAAUCUCAUAAAUUGGGAGGGUCACAGGCCGGUGUCUUGCUGGCAGCCCGCUGCGGGGCAGGGAGGGCAGCUGGCUGUGCCGCUGGGGUAACAGGGCCUGGGAUGUGCUUUGGCACAGAUGAGGUUUCCUGGGGCCUGGCCAUAGCUCCAGAUUUUGCAAUGAAAGAGAAAGUGUUCCCUUUAAUCCCAGCGCUGAGCAUCCUUCUCUUGGCUGCUCGGUAAUCCUCAGUAUUUUUGGGUCACACAUGGAGAUGGAGGCAGAUUUUGCCCUGCAAUGUCUUCAGGUUCUGCAUUUCUACCAUUUCACAUGAAAACUUACAAAGAAACCAGACAUGGUGUUGUGAGGGUGCUGCAGUGAUACUUUGUUAGUAUUUAGCUAGCAGCUGGACACAUACAAGGACAAAGUAAAAUAGCAAUUGUUACUGAAGCUUCAGAGAAAGAAAUCGCAACCCUAUGUUUACCUUUAAAAGAACAUGUUAAUUUUUAUCCAGCAAGUAUCUCUUUUCUCAAAAGAAACCAUAAUAGCCAUUCUUGUUUAAAUAACCGAUUUUAAAGCUCCUUCUACCCUUAGAAACCAAAAGCGCUGUCAAGGGACGGCUCUAUACAUACCACUGAAUGUGCCACACCCUCUAUUGAGAGGUCAAUUUUAGGGAAAAGGAGACUGUUCUGGUCAGCUGUGCUGUGGUACUGGGAGAUGAGCUCUGUGACAAGACGCAGCUCCCACAUUUUUGAGAAAUUAAACUCAGCGGGCAAAGGUAGAACAGUCCUUGGCACCUAUGUGCAUUCUAAUUAGCUCUGCUCUUUUACAUUGUUCCUCGUCCUUACUUCAUGCACGCACUAACAAAACUAAUGAACAAAACCCACUUCAGCUUACUAACUCUUCAGGAAUCACGUUACCUCAUUUUCUGAAAAAAAGGUAGGAUUCUUGGAAAGAAAUUUUUCAUAAUAGGGAGAUCUGGCAAACUUGCAUCUAAAAAGUCAUGGUAAUGCCAACUUUUAACUUAAUUACAGCCUACAUUUUUUACUCAGCAUGGAGAUACUUCUGAGUAAUGCAUACACAGAGCUAUUGAACACCUGAGUAUUUUUAAGAAUUUGGACUUUGCUAUUGCAAAGACGUUUGUAAUGAAGUUGAACAACUGCUUAGCUUUGCUUGAGUAAAUUAAUAGCUUUGAUAAGAAGUCUGUAAUUAUUCUCUUUUGCACAGCCACUGUUCAAAACAUGCUUAACAGUCCUUCUGCUGGAUUGUUUGUUUCCAGCAAACACAUUUUCCAUGCCAUAGCAGUAAGACCCGAGUAAGCAUUCCAUGAUUACAGCAACAUGUUCACCAAUUUAAAAAAAUAUAUAUCAGAAAAUCUGUGAUAUCCUGAAAAGGGUUCCGGGCUGAUUAGUAUUGAACAAGAAAAAAAUUGGUCAUAUUGUGUUAAAAUCCAAUUAUGUAAGGCACUUCUGUUAUUUUUCUUUAAAGCACAUCACGGUAUGCAAGUGAAAAACAACUGUUAGUAAUACACGACACAUUUUUUGGUCACGGGUGAAGUGUCUUUUAUAACCACUAAAAUAUUGAUCAGGCACAUCCUUACUUAGCCUACCCUGAGACUUAACAAGGGUCAGGGCUUGACCCUGCUUAGCUGGAAGGCCCGUAGGGUCACUCUCCAGCUGCUAUAGCUGCUUAUUCUAUGCCUCCGAUUAUGCAUUCCUUCUGCUCAUUAGACUAAAGAUUGAUCUGUAGCCUCUGUUUUUGGUCAGGGGGAACCAGUGAAUUUGCAUAAUAUUCAUGCAUCUAACAGCUUGUGCAUUGAAGCCUGUUGGUCAUACAUAAGCAAAUCUAAGAUGAGUUUUGUCUGCAUUAUAAGUACAGGAUUAAAUUUAAUGCAUCGCCUCACCGUCAGGGCCACAGGGGGGUGCAAACUGCACGCAGAGUCCCUGCUGCUGUGUUUCAGGAGGCAGAGCGGCUGGGGCCAGCCGGCAUUCAGGAGAGCAGCAUUCGUUGCUGCCAGUAUCUCGGUUUUUCUCUGAAAUCAGGUGACUUGCAGCAGCUGAGAGUCAGGCCUGUUACUGUGCUAUAAAAGCAAGGCAGUUUCCAGUAAUGGGGAUGACUCCAAAGAAGCGUUAGUGUGCUUCUUGUAAAAGGGAGUUGGCGAAGCAUCAAGCCGUGAUUUUCCUUUGAGGAGGGAAAGAAGGAUCGUUGUUGUAGGUAAGGCACUGCAGAUGAUCAAGUGGAAAUCAGGUGGAAGAUGGUGCAGCUGGAAAGCAGUGUACGCUAACACACAGCACCAUGUACCCGAGGAGCCACACCUACGGGAUCUGAUACCCCCAGGAACGCCAGUGGGAUUUGCACUGUCAUUCCUCACAGGGGAAACAGCGGCAGAGAUUUACUGUAGCAGUUUUUGAAUUCUGUCAAGCAAUCGAGCUGGCAAAAGCAGCUAAGAGGCUCAUACCGAAUCAUAUUGGAAAUGUUCUCCAUCUUUAUGACGUUGGAGAUUGCGCUGCCUGCUGAAUUCUGAUAAAGCAGUAGGAGUUAUAGGUAUGCUGUACUUUCCCAUCUUAUUUUUAAGAAGGAUUUCCACUGCAGUGGGUCCUUUCACACUGUUUUUUUGGAAGCUGCUGGGAAGUAUGGCUCAACAUUGCCCUGUGCUUCUGACUGAGAUUAAAUUCUCAGUUCAGCUAAGAGUUAUUUGUACAUCACUCAUACUGAACUAUUCUCAGAAUUCCAGGAAUACAUUCUCUUUUCCUUCAUCAUACUCAUUGUGGACAAUGAAUAAACAUGAACAGAUAUAAAGGAGCAUGGUUUUGCUGCAUGUGUUUCAACAAAAUCCUUCCUAAUUUAGAAUAACUUAGAUAUCAGUUGAAUAUAACAUGCUAUUUUUGUCUUUUAACAUCCCAGAUUGAAUGAUAUUAAAGUGGAUCAACUUUUAAAGUGAAGUUACUUAGUAAAUUUGAGACAAAAUCUAGGGCAACUGCAUGUUCCCAUUAGUAAAUCUUUACCAGUUUAACCUGAUUAGAUGAUAAUGCCAUGCACAAUACAAAACAUCCAAUGUAUGUAAUCAGGCUAGGCAAGCCCCUUGGGAAUGCAUGUUGUCAGAAAUUACCAAAAUUCAAAACAGACACAGAAAUGAAAGUACAAACAAGGGCAAUGUAAAAAGCAACGAUGCUGACAGAGAAAGAAAGGAAGAGAGAAAGAAAAAGAAAAUCCACCAGUGGGGACUGAGUUGUAUUUAAUAAGUAUUUUCUCUCUGGUUCUGUGCCAGUCAUUUAAGAGGACAUCCAUGUUUGAAAGUGCCUACGCUACCAGGAUAUGCAAACAUAACUAGUUUCUGGCUUUGUGUAUAAAGUUAUAAAGCAGAAAACUGGAGGGCAAAUACUCUAAAUAUCAACCUCCAAAGCAUCAAAGGUCUGAUUCUCUGUUAAACUACCUUAGUGAACAGUUAAGUUUUUCAUGAAGACAAAUUAUUGCUUUGUAGAGAUAAUUUACAUUGUCUGUCUAUCUUACAGGCAAGAGAAGACGGAAAUAAGCAUUCAGUGUUUAUUCUAUCACAUGCAGAACAUGUAUUUUGAGCCUGUGAUUGUAUUUACAAAAGGAAAUCCUGAUAAUUUCAUAGGCUUUCAAAAGGAGAUGGGUUCUUUUCGAGAUGCUUGUAAGUCAAUUUCUACCAUUUCCCCACUUUGAAAAAAAAAAAAACUUAAAGAGGUAAGAAGACAACAAAUGUAUUAUUAAGGACAUGAAAUUCCACAGCACAUAAAGGACUAGACCUACAUAUGUACUUGGAUAUUGCAACCCAUUUUUCUAACUUCAAGCUACGUUUAUUGGAUAACCACCUAAAACUCAAGUGAUACAAAACUGAGUUUUCUGGUCAGAACUAAGUAGUCAGAAAAAUGUGGUCACCCGGGACAACACAGUCCCUCGUUCAAGAGUUCAAGACUUCUUGGCGCAGAAAGAGAAAGUGAAGAGUGCAGCGAUCUGCAUCAGAGCCAUCAAGGCUCUCUGCGGAAAGAGGAAAGUGCUGGGUUACGAUCCCUGCUCCCACGACUGCUUAUGCAGUCUGCUAUAAGUAAUAAUUGGAUAAAAUACUGAAGUAGUUGCUGGAUGAGACAUGUGCAGUGGAGGCAAAAGAAACCACAAUGCAGCUUGUGUACUGUUUCUCUCUACUGCAGGGAUACAAUAGAUACCAAGUACUUAUUGGUCUGAAGUGAUACUGUUCUCUGUAACUUAACAAAAUAACAAUAAAUCAGUGAAUAUUACGCCACAGAGAGCAGAGUUUCUGUUCCAUUUACUUUACGUAUUGGUGAUCUCCUUCAGGAGCAACAAGUUGAGAGAUGCUCCACGUUUGCAAUUCCCUGCUAACAGUGUGAUGAGCUGCCACAGUAAUCUCCACAGGUCUCAAUUUCUACCACUGACAGUGGGGUAAGAGAAAAGUAAAGCAGAAACUUUUCUCUGAGGAAACUCUCUGGAGUUUAUAUGUUGCUGUGCAGGGGAAACCUGCUUGUUGCUUUUUUGUUUGCUUGUUUCUUUUCUUUUUCAAAUUAAUAGAUUGAAAAGCAAGGCAUACUUCACUCUGUAUAAGUAAGAAGAUCUGUACACAAGUGGAGCCAAAUAUGUUCAGCUGAAAGUAGCCACUUUGUGCCAAAGCCCAGUUCUCCUGAAGCGCUGUUUAGUAAAACCGUGCUAAUGAAAGUGGAUUCAUUCUGAAUGUAGCUUGAAAACGAAUAAUAUCAUCAGCAAGACAGCCUUGAUGUACUCCAUAUUUAAUCCAUUCCCCUAUUUCUCAUCCACUUCUCUAUUCAGUUUUUCAAUAUGAAUUGCAGGAUUUAAUCUCAAAAUAGUGUAUGUACAUUGUAGAAUUAGAUAGAAAGGUAUUGAAGAUUUUGCAGAUGGGAAAGAAAUAUUUGGAGCUCUGAGCAUCUGGGAAGCAUGUGGAAUAGGUAUUUCAGUAGAGUUUUAUGCUAAAACCAUCAGCAAGAUGGAAGUGUUACUCCCAUUAAAAUUAUCUUUUCAAAAUCAAUGCUUCCUAGAUAUUAAUAUGGGAAGUACCUACAAUGUCACAACUUCACAGCCUCCGAAUUCACAGUCUCAUGUGAAUUAUUUUUGUGGAAGAAGUGCAUAUACCUUAGAUGACUGCUGUACAUAGCUGUUGCAAAAAAACUCUCAUUUACUAAAAAUAAACUUUGUAUUAACUUUAAAUUGUAUCUAUCUUGCAUUCACUCAGAUCCUCCUAGUCUGUCAGGCACAGAAGAGAAUGAAGUGACAGAUAAGCUUAUGGUCUGAGAAGGGCACACGGUAAUUUUAUCUGCUUACUAAGCCCACAGGACCGAUCAUGCAACAGACAAAGAGUCUGGAAGAAGAAAUCGCCUAGCCUCAAAUGCUUUUCUCAGCCUCCUAUACUUCUCACUGUAGAUUACAUAUAAUGUUUUAGUAAAAAAAAAAAAAAAACAAAUUACCCCAACUGUAAAAGGUAGAUCAGAGUAUGAAAGCACUAUGGACAGAAAAAAGGCACAUUAAAGUUUUAAAUGAUUUUAGAAUCUCUGAUGGGCACAGGUUGUUUCAAGGAAAAAAAAAAAAAAAAAAAAAGGAAGACUUAGAAAAUAUUUUUUUUAAAUGACAUAAUGGAAAUCUAAAAUAUUAGUAUUGAUAUUCUGCUUUCAGUCAUGAAUGUUAACAUUCCUGACUGACAGGUUACCCUCCUUUUAGGCUUAAACAUUCAUUUGUUCUUUUUAAGCUGUUUUAAAAGUUGCAUAACAGCAUUCAAUCAAUAUUUAACCAUUUGAAAAUGUAAGUUCUUGUAUUACACAACAGCAGUAAUAUCGUUAAUAAUUAUCAAAUUGUUUUCUCUUGUAAAAUCAAUUUCAGUUGCCUCAUCUUAUGUUUGGUUGAAAACACUCCCUGCCCAAAGCUGGAUUUUCCCCAAAUUUUUCAAAGGCUGACUCAGAAGCCUGAGAGCAGGACUGAUGAAAAUAUCCAGUAGGUUUUCUGAGGACUCUGGGCUUCAGAACAGAUUUCAGUUCUCAAUAUUCUUCAUGCUAGACACAGACCUUUUGUCCUCUUUCUUAAAGGCUUGUCUAAAUUUGCCAGUGCUAAGUCUUUAAAAUAUAAAUAUCAUCUGCUAGCCUUGGCAUCAGGGAGUAUAAAGUAAAGCUCUUGAAAGCUUGGGUUGAAUCUCACUACUCUGACUAGAAAGCUGCUCCAGAACUUACUGUUCCCUUGAUUAGAAGUAAUUUUCCUUUAGUUGCCACCUGAAAUUCAUACCUGCUCUUUAGUUUUUGUGACAACAACAUUCAUUUCCUUAAAUAUGUUUUUUUGCUUCGCUGAUGCGUUCAUAGCCUGCACUGUACCUCCUCUCAGCAUUUUUUGGUUUUGCUGAGCAAGCCAACUUCUUUUAAUCUCUUAUCUGCUUGUCCUUCUCAUCUCAUAGACCUUCUCUGCAACAUUAAGCUUCACUAUUCCUAGGGCUCAGGUGACUACCAGUGUGAUUUUACCAGAACUUAAAAAACAAAAAGAGAAAAA